This 1940-nucleotide long non-coding RNA is filed under the name Equus caballus (horse). RNAcentral describes it as "lncRNA (ENSECAG00000034317.3)". Lineage: Eukaryota; Metazoa; Chordata; Mammalia; Perissodactyla; Equidae. The record is from RNAcentral.
CUUCAUCAGGUUUCACUCGCUUUCCGCUGCUCUCUCCAGCUCGUCCUUCUCUAAAGAGUCCAUGCUUGAACUUGGGGGUGGGGUGGCGGGCAGAGUGCGGCGCAAGCAUUAGCUUCUCACUGAAAGGGCAGCUGUCCACUGAGUUCACACAGUAACUUGAGUAGGUGUGUUACUUAAUACGCCACGAGAAAAUGCCCACCCCGAGAGUCUAAAAUUGUUCAUUUAAUGGGCCUCCUGCUGCUGCUCGGCCGCCUUCCAAGGGCACACUCAUCUGCUUCCCCUGCAAGCACGACCUUCUGCCAGAGACUCUGGGGGACUGUGGCUGUUGAUCUGCGGUGAGAGGUGACAGGUGGCCUCUCUGCAAUCGUGGGAUGUCAAAAUUGAUAUUAAAAUAUGCUUUCCAAGGGAUGACUGGAGACUAGGCAGAGAAAGAGAGGGUGUUUGGUACUCAGCCUCAUGUUUCGGUGCCUCCGGAGAAGGUGUGCUGGCUCCCAACCAGCUUUCCACACUCAGAGACCUAAAUCCUCUAAAGACUCAUUCUGGGAAGACCUUGGCACGAGGACACGGUGGCUAAGCCCGAGCUGGGCCCUCACAGAGGUUUGUUUAGCAGCGACCCCUCACCCAGCCGUACCUCCUCACCAGCAUUCAGGGGGUGGCUCCAUGAGGAACACAACUACGAUUUUUACAGAAGCUGUUGCCCUUUUUUUCUUUUCUCAAGAAUAACAAGGAACUAUUACAAAUAGCCUAAGACAUGACUUACGUCAGAAGGCAAUAGGCCUUCUUAUUUUUGACCCAAGGCAUAGCAAACUUCACUGAAUGACUAGGAGCUUUUUACAACUCAGCAAAUGGAUUUGUCACCAUCGUGGAACAGUGGAAGGCAGCUAAUUCCUCAGCCCAUCAGAAGUGCUGCUUUGUGAACUUGAAGAACCCGAACAACUUUUUGAUAAAAUCUAUCUCCUCCUAGAGAGAAUGGAUGGGUCAUUUUCAGAAACAUCGUUUUUUGGAGAAAAGCAGAACAGUGUUCUCCUCCUUUCCCAACCAAUAUCAGAGCGUUAAUCACCGACACAAAAUGAACUAAGACCAACAUGGGGUACUCAGCCAACAGCAGGCGCAGCGUUCAUGGUGAAGCAGAAACGGGGAGCAAUGCGUGAAAAUGUGAAGUGGUUCAACGGGGAGUGUGUCCUGCGUGCCCUCGGGGACCUGUGCUGCACUUGUUAAGGAUGGCUGAGGCUCUGAAAUCCUGGCUCACAAAGCACAGACACUUUUUGCCACAAGAAAUCCAAUAAAGGAGAGGAAACUGAAGCAGACACCCUGGAAUCUCCACUUUAGUGCUUUCCAAAGCUCUUAGCCGAAGCAUGGAGAUGGUUUCGAAGCUUGUUCCCCUCUGUAGACAAUACCGUUUAAUCCUCACGAUGACUGGGGGGUGCUAAACCAAGGCAGCGACUACUGUCUCCAUUUUACAGAUGAAGAAACCAAGCCCCAGAGUCACCUGGCUCAUCUGUCCUCUGCUUGACCCCUUCUGAGGAGCUGGAGCUGUGUAGACGUCAGUUAUGAGAGCAGGAACACAACCAGGCAAAUAGCAGGAUGACCUGGCGCACGGAGUAGGUGAGAGAUGAGUGGCCUGGAUCUAAAUGAUCAUCCAAUGGAGGAAAAGACACAACAUAAAGGUUUCCAUUUCUCCAGUCUUCAAAGAGAGAGACAAUUUAUUUUGGGGGGACUACUGUUGUCAGGAUUAAAUGCUAAUGCCUGAAAUCUUUUCAAGCAAAAUGUGCUGUGUCAGCUUCCAAGAAUACACUUGUUUUACAAGUUCAACUUCUUGUUUUUGAAGAAACACAACCUCUGCAGGAGAACCUUUCCAAAAAUUUUUCAUUUUUCCUGACGCCUCAUAAUACUUAAAAGAUUUUUCAACUGAUUAGAGAUUCCCAAAUAAAAGGCACGAC